AUCGAUGUUUUAUCUUCGUACAAGUUUGUGGUAAGUUCGUGUAAUUAAAUUGUGUAUUUAUAUGCUUUAAUAGAAAUAUAUGUAUGCGAAUGGUUUAAUUAUUAUGUAUAAUUAUCGAGCGCAUAACCGAUGACAUACAAAGAAUAUUGAGCCCCGUUUGAACCUUAGAAAUUCGUAGGAUACAAAUGACAUGUCAUUAGGGUUACCGAUUUGGUUGUGGUACUGCAUGUGGUGUGGACACACCAUAGCUCGUAUGAGCUUACCGAUAUUCAGCUCGGAGGAGCUUACCGUUUAUCGCUCGUAUGAGCAUACAUGUAUAAGAAUUGACAGAUUUACAGUUUAGUACAUCUCGCGUGUACUACCCACGUUUCUAACGAUAUUCUAAGUGAUUCAACGGGCAUAGUGUUAUUACGAGAUUACACAAGUUCAAUACGAACUAGUACAAGUAUUUACAUGAAAAUGAUUUAUAUAUGAUAUACAGAUACAUGGUAUAGAUGGUACAUGUACAUGAAAUUUAAUAAUUGUUGAAUUCAUACAUGAUUCUCGGUUUUAUAUGAAUACAUGGCUAACUUGGUUAAUGGUUAUGUGAUAGGCUUUGGCCAAAUUGAAUUAUGUUAUGCUUUGAGUUACUUACCUAAAUUUAUGGUUAAAUGGUAAGCUUAAUUCUGUAUUAUACGAACUUACUAAGCUUAAUUGCUUACUCUGUUUAUUUUCCCGUAUUUAAUAGUGAUUCGGAAGCUCGUUCGGAUUGGAAGUUGUCGGAGACCGCAUAACACUAUCAAACGUUAUUUUGGUACUUUUGACUUUAUAUUUUGGGUUAAAUGGCAUGUAUAGGUCAUUUUGGCUAAUGGUAGCCCAUAUGUUUUGUUGUGUUUCAGCCAUUUAAUUUGGCUUGAAUUUGGUAUAAUUUGGUUAUGUAAAUAUGUAAAUAGCCUUAUAGUAUGUGAUGUAUGGUUGCCAUGUGAAUGCCUUGGUUGGGAAUUG
RNAcentral lists this long non-coding RNA (984 nucleotides) under Gossypium barbadense (sea-island cotton). RNAcentral's name for it is "long non-coding RNA (GBAR_LNC014649)". The record is from RNAcentral. Lineage: Eukaryota; Viridiplantae; Streptophyta; Magnoliopsida; Malvales; Malvaceae.